UGAAUACGAGAUGCUAAGGCGUCGAAGUAGUGUAUGUCAUACUUCCAAGAAAAGCUUGCACUGUCAUAAAUAAAAAGUGCCUGUACCAUAACCGACACAGGUGGGUAAGUAGAGUAUACUAAGGGGCGCGAGAUAACUCUCUCUAAGGAACUCGGCAAAAUGACUCCGUAACUUCGGGAGAAGGAGUGCCUUAUUCUUAAGGUUGCAAUAACAAGAUCCAAGCAACUGUUUAUCAAAAACACAGGUCUCCGCUAAGUCGUAAGACGAUGUAUGGGGGCUGACGCCUGCCCAGUGCCAGAAGGUUAAAGAAGUCGGUUAGCAAUCGCGAAGCUGGUAACUGAAGCCCUGGUGAACGGCGGCCGUAACUAUAACGGUCCUAAGGUAGCGAAAUUCCUUGUCGGGUAAGUUCCGACCCGCACGAAAGGCGUAAUGAUUUGGAUGCUGUCUCGGAGAGAGGCUCGGUGAAAUAGACUUGUCUGUGAAGAUGCGGACUACCUGCACCAGGACAGAAAGACCCUAUGAAACUUUACUGUAACUUGAAAUUGAAAUUGGACUUUAUUCGCGCAGUAUAGGUGGGAGGCGUUGAUUAUAAUCUUGCGGGAUUAUUGGAGCCAUCAGUGAGAUACCACUCUUGUAAUGUUAGAUUUCUAACUUUGAAUCAUUAUCUGGUCAAAGGACAAUUUCAGGCGGGCAGUUUGACUGGGGCGGUCGCCUCCUAAAUGGUAACGGAGGCGUACAAAGGUUUCCUCUGAACGGUUAGAAAUCGUAUCUAGAGUGUAAGGGCAUAAGGAAGCUUGACUGUGAGACCUACAAGUCGAGCAGGGACGAAAGUCGGUCUUAGUGAUCUGACGGUACUGAGUGGAAAGGCCGUCACUCAACGGAUAAAAGUUACUCUAGGAUAACAGGCUGAUCUCCCCCAAGAGUUCACAUCGACGGGGAGGUUUGGCACCUCGAUGUCGGCUCAUCGCAUCCUGGGGCGGUAGUACGUCCCAAGGGUUGGGCUGUUCGCCCAUGAAAGCGGUACGCGAGCUGGGUUCAGAACGUCGUGAGACAGUUCGGUCCAUAUCCGGUGUAGGCGUUAGAAUAUUGAGAGGAGCCUUCUUUAGUACGAGAGGACCGAGAAGGACAUACCUCUGGUGUACCAGUUAUCGUGCCAACGGUAAACGCUGGGUAGCUAUGUAUGGAGUGGAUAACCGCUGAAAGCAUCUAAGUGGAAGCCCACCUCAAGAUAAGUAUUCUC
This 1240-nucleotide ribosomal RNA is filed under the name metagenome. Its description in RNAcentral is "bacterial LSU rRNA". It matches the Rfam family "Bacterial large subunit ribosomal RNA", at positions 1564 to 2815 of the family's 2925-position model. The record is from RNAcentral.